GACGAACGCUGGCGGCGUGCCUAAUACAUGCAAGUCGAACGCACAGUUUAUACCGUAGCUUGCUACACCAUAGACUGUGAGUUGCGAACGGGUGAGUAACGCGUAGGUAACCUGCCUGGUAGCGGGGGAUAACUAUUGGAAACGAUAGCUAAUACCGCAUAAUAUUGAUUAUUGCAUGAUAAUUGAUUGAAAGAUGCUAUUGCAUCACUACCAGAUGGACCUGCGUUGUAUUAGCUAGUAGGUGAGGUAACGGCUCACCUAGGCGAGGAUACAUAGCCGACAUGAGAGGGUGGUCGGCCACACUGGGAGUGAGACACGGCCCAGAGGCCUACGGGAGGCAGCAGUAGGGAAUCUUCGGCAAGGGACGAAAGUCUGACCGAGCAACGCCGCGGGAGUGAAGAAGGUUUUCGGAUCGUAAAGCUCUGUUGUAAGAGAAGAACGGGUGUGAGAGUGGAAAGUUCACACUGUGACGGUAUCUUACCAGAAAGGGACGGCUAACUACGUG
Molecule: ribosomal RNA, 505 nt
Filed under: uncultured bacterium
Lineage: Bacteria
Description: partial 16S ribosomal RNA
Rfam family: Bacterial small subunit ribosomal RNA
Source: RNAcentral